CACUAUCAAUCGUAGUCAAACCACCAUCGCCAUCAGUCAGCAGAAGCGAAAGUUGGUGAAAAUCAACGUGGCCGUGUCGAACGAUCUGCUAAUUUGCGAAUCACACGCUGACAACGGAGGAAUUUCUCAGUGCACGCUCCUACAUAAGAAUCAAAUCAGUUACCAUCAUAAAGAACGAUUAUAACGCUUCGGAUGGUCAAGCAGCGAGAAAAACUCUGAUCCCGAGCCCACCACUGGACCGAUAAUCACACCAUCAGUGUGAACGGUCAAAACGCGAUAUCGCCAAAGCGCAUGGUCGGUGAUCGCAGCAUCGGGCAACGAUCGAAGUCAUCGAGCAGAAAGAGCCCCUGAAAACGGGGCUCUUUGUUUCGAUUAUUCUCCAAACAGGCUUAAUAGUCAGACGACUCGCGUCAUUGUUGACCUUGAACUUGAAUCAGGGACGUGUGCAUGUGUGUGACCAUCACGGUGGAAUAAUUUGGAUGUGAUGCGGUGCGUGGUGCAAGACCAAUAGUGAGGAGUGAGCCGUGAGAUCUAUACAUCGGCGACGACAACGGUGUGAGCAGAAGGAAUGGAGCAGUGCUUGU
This is a long non-coding RNA of Armigeres subalbatus, 584 nucleotides long. RefSeq lists it as uncharacterized. The record is from RefSeq and is a predicted model, not a curated record. NCBI's taxonomy places the organism in Eukaryota, Metazoa, Arthropoda, Insecta, Diptera, Culicidae. The transcript has 4 exons.